CCUACGGGGGGCUGCAGUGAGGAAUAUUGGUCAAUGGGCGGAAGCCUGAACCAGCCAAGUAGCGUGCAGGAUGACGGCCCUACGGGUUGUAAACUGCUUUUAUACGGGAAUAACGCGCCUUACGUGUAGGGCUUUGCAUGUACCGUAUGAAUAAGGACCGGCUAAUUCCGUGCCAGCAGCCGCGGUAAUACGGAAGGUCCGGGCGUUAUCCGGAUUUAUUGGGUUUAAAGGGAGCGUAGGCGGGAUGUCAAGCGUGCUGUGAAAUGUCCGGGCUCAACCCUGGCCUUGCAGCGCGAACUGGCGUGCUUGAGUCCGCGGAAGGCAGGCGGAAGUCGGCGUGUAGCGGGGAAAUGCUUAGAUAUGACGAAGAACCCCGAUUGCGAAGGCAGCUUGCUGCAGCGGAACUGACGCUGAUGCUCGAAGGCGCGGGUAUCGAACAGGAUUAGAUACCCCAGUAGUC
Molecule: ribosomal RNA, 460 nt
Filed under: uncultured bacterium
Lineage: Bacteria
Description: partial 16S ribosomal RNA
Rfam family: Bacterial small subunit ribosomal RNA
Source: RNAcentral